Molecule: unclassified non-coding RNA, 235 nt
Filed under: Hevea brasiliensis (rubber tree)
Lineage: Eukaryota; Viridiplantae; Streptophyta; Magnoliopsida; Malpighiales; Euphorbiaceae
Source: RNAcentral
AUAAGUCUGAAAGAGACAAUGGGGUAAGAGUUCGACUUCUUAUAUUUUACUGUAUGCCUACUACUAAAUAAUGAUUGGUUUUAAAAGGACAGCAAACAUUUUGUUGUUAUUAUUCAUCAGAUGGAUGGUAAAUUCGCAACUAUAAUUGAUUAAGAUUAAGACCUUUAACUGAAUUUGUGACAGUAAUUAAUGUAAGAUUAUGACUUUUAAUUGUCUUCUUGAAACCUUUUAUUGA